ACAACGAUGAGGUGAUAGGUACCCUGCCAGCGUAUUGCACGUUCGGCCGACAUAUUUGGAGGGCUUCUGUCCCGCUCAUAUGCCUCGAUAUUGUCGAGCAUCAUGCCUCCGAGCGGGUAUUUUUUCAGUUUGGCCCGUCGCAGCCUAUACCGAGUCCGCCUGCAUGGCUUGCUUUACAUUAUGAGAAGGAUGAUCGGUCCAGGACGGACGACACAUUUAUGGCAUGGCUUGACGAGCAGUUGGGUACUUGGGACAGGCGAGGGGACUUGACCCCACCUCCGCAACACUUUCCUAUUCAACGUUAUAUGGCGUGGUACCGCACUGUUUCCCGAUUUUUUAUCGGGAACCCAGUUCAUCAGGCACACGGUCGGUACGUCCCAUACGCCGGGAGACACGAGGCCCUGGCGAUUGGAUUGCAUACCGUCUAUCAUAUGGGGCAGCAGAUGCAGAGUCAUGUCCACGAUCCUGUGGUCAUGCAGGAGUAUAGUCGUCGAUUCAUGGAUGUGGCUGCCCAGACACUGUAGCGAGCCCGAUCGGAUCAGCGUUUGGCACACGAGGCUGAAUAUAUAGACCCAGCACAGUACCAGCGAGGUCGUGGUAUCCCACGAGCUAGACGUGCCCGACGAGUUGGUGGUGCCGGGCGACGUGGUCGUGGGCGGAGAAGAGGUGGUCCCCAGCAAGGGGGCGUUGAGGCUCCUGCUGAUGAUGUUGCUGCUGAUAUAGCAAGUGGCAUGCAUGAGACGGACAUGCCGUUUUACAGCCUUGGAAUUUAUCGCACUCCAGUGCCAUCGCAGGUGACCCCAUCGAGUCAAUUAUCGAUCACGUGCUCGGAUAUUUAAGGAGUGGAUUGGGGUAGAUACUUCCCAGGCCCGUCUACCACUGAUGAGGAGCGACCGACCCGAGAUUUUUAUAGUGGGCGCCAACUGAGUUAUGGCUCCACAUCACAUGCGCAGGCUUCAUGCGAUGCUGCGACAGAUGACUACAUUCAGGAUCCAGACACGAUGAUGCCUUCUAUUGGACCUGACAGCACCACCGAUACAUGUCAUCCUGCGCCGCAUCUGGCUAUAAGGAGACGACUUGAUGAUGAUAAUCAUGAUAGUGCACCCAGGCGGGAGGGGAUGCAGCUCAGGCUAGCGACUGCAUUGAGACACACCGGAUGCGUGACACAUU
Nicotiana tabacum (common tobacco) is the source of this 1170-nucleotide non-coding RNA. The record is from RefSeq and is a predicted model, not a curated record. Lineage: Eukaryota; Viridiplantae; Streptophyta; Magnoliopsida; Solanales; Solanaceae.